This is a long non-coding RNA of Carassius auratus (goldfish), 1475 nucleotides long. RefSeq lists it as uncharacterized. The transcript has 4 exons. The record is from RefSeq and is a predicted model, not a curated record. NCBI's taxonomy places the organism in Eukaryota, Metazoa, Chordata, Actinopteri, Cypriniformes, Cyprinidae.
AAUCGGAAUUGAUCCAUCUGCAGAGAACUUUGCGGGAUGUUUGCAACGCUGUUUUCCGCUCACACUGAAAGCCAACACCAGUGGCGCUAUGAGGCCUGUGGGGUUUUGAAGUAUUCUUGGCUAAAUACUCCUCUCUGGACCACACGAAGCCCCCUGUGAGGCAUCUCCCUGACUCCCAGUUAGCUACACUAUAAACACUUCACUCAGGAAUGGCAGCUGUUCCCAGAUGGCACUUGGUACAUUCCCCUUCUCCCAAAGUACCCUCCUCAUUUCUCUCUCUCUCUCUCUCUCUCACUAUCAUCUCAGCUACAAUGUCUUCAAAUGCACAAUGGAGCCAUUAUAAGGAACUUUGCAUCUUAAUUCAGAAUCCCUGGUUUCAUCAUUGUGCUUGCGUUGACCGGUAGAAACAAGAUUUUGUUUUAUAUCAAGGUUUAUUCAGUGGUGAUGCUCAUUGGGUUUUUUGGAAACUAGCGUGCCUGUUGGGUCAUCCACCAGAGGAAGGUAAUUCAGCCAAGCUUUGCAGUUCUACGGAAACAGCUGUCCUGGGACCGGAUGAGGCUUAUGCCUUGAAAAAUCAAGAGUCUCUAUUACACCAACUGCAUAAAUGAUGGGCCGCCUGCCCGUGGCUCGUGAUCCGUUAUUAGCGCUGUCAGUUUCCAUUCGACCUGUUGACAUUUUAAACAUGCGGCAGUGGCUUGUUUUAUUCCAGCUAAUGUGUUGUAGAAGUUAGAAACAUUUUUCUAGCACAAUUUAAUCAGCCGAGCUGAACCAAAGAAUGAUUGAAGCUGAUUAACCCUACAUUGGACGACCAUGUGGCCCUGGUUUCACCACAGAUGGGAUUUAAAAACAAACAGGCCUGGUCACUCUGGGAGGUGGGGAGGCUGCGUGGUGUAUUACACAGAGAACUGAGGGAACGGCUUGUUUUGUUUCCAAAGCCCAGAAAAGCAGAGCCAUGUGACUGCUGAUGGUGGUCAGUGCUCUGGGGAAAUCAAUAAUGGCUCGGUUUAUUUUUCAUAAUUGAUGGAUAAAUAUUUCUCUAAGGGACUUUAAGGAAAAAGCCGAGCUCCUGGAGGCGUGCCGUCACUAAAAUGCUCAGAGGACACAAACGCUCUUGCUAAACUCUGUUGCUGCCCCGGAAAAACAAACUGCAUCCACUGUUCAUGUAACGCUCGGUUCUUUGGGAAGCUGAACACGAACUGACUGGAGAAAUGGAUUCCUUUUGGGAGAAAAGACCAGCUGAGGGGUCAAAGGUCAGGAUCAGACACCCUCCCCUGCAGCCCUACACGAGAAGGGUCAAUCAGGCAGAUUCUCAGCCAUUGAAAUAGGUUGGGAUGGAAAAGCUUGACUGUCCUCUGACCUCAUAUGACCCCCAUCUGCCCUCUGGUCCUAGUGUCAGGAAGUGAAGUCAUCCACACUGAUUUAUCAGUAGACCGUACACACAGUUUCAAUGGAGGGACUGAGAGCUCUCGGACUAA